This 727-nucleotide ribosomal RNA is filed under the name Streptomyces sp. RNAcentral's name for it is "bacterial SSU rRNA". It matches the Rfam family "Bacterial small subunit ribosomal RNA", at positions 137 to 876 of the family's 1533-position model. The record is from RNAcentral. Lineage: Bacteria; Bacillati; Actinomycetota; Actinomycetes; Kitasatosporales; Streptomycetaceae.
UCUGGGACAAGCCCUGGAAACGGGGUCUAAUACCGGAUGACACUCUUCCCUGCAUGGGGGAGGGUUGAAAGCUCCGGCGGUGAAGGAUGAGCCCGCGGCCUAUCAGCUUGUUGGUGGGGUAAUGGCCUACCAAGGCGACGACGGGUAGCCGGCCUGAGAGGGCGACCGGCCACACUGGGACUGAGACACGGCCCAGACUCCUACGGGAGGCAGCAGUGGGGAAUAUUGCACAAUGGGCGAAAGCCUGAUGCAGCGACGCCGCGUGAGGGAUGACGGCCUUCGGGUUGUAAACCUCUUUCAGCAGGGAAGAAGCGAAAGUGACGGUACCUGCAGAAGAAGCGCCGGCUAACUACGUGCCAGCAGCCGCGGUAAUACGUAGGGCGCAAGCGUUGUCCGGAAUUAUUGGGCGUAAAGAGCUCGUAGGCGGCUUGUCACGUCGGUUGUGAAAGCCCGGGGCUUAACCCCGGGUCUGCAGUCGAUACGGGCAGGCUAGAGUGUGGUAGGGGAGAUCGGAAUUCCUGGUGUAGCGGUGAAAUGCGCAGAUAUCAGGAGGAACACCGGUGGCGAAGGCGGAUCUCUGGGCCAUUACUGACGCUGAGGAGCGAAAGCGUGGGGAGCGAACAGGAUUAGAUACCCUGGUAGUCCACGCCGUAAACGUUGGGAACUAGGUGUUGGCGACAUUCCACGUCGUCGGUGCCGCAGCUAACGCAUUAAGUUCCCCGCCUGG